AGACCCGAAACCCGGUGAUCUAGCCAUGGGCAGGUUGAAGGUUGGGUAACACUAACUGGAGGACCGAACCGACUAAUGUUGAAAAAUUAGCGGAUGACCUGUGGCUGGGGGUGAAAGGCCAAUCAAACCGGGAGAUAGCUGGUUCUCCCCGAAAGCUAUUUAGGUAGCGCCUCGUGAAUUCAUCUCCGGGGGUAGAGCACUGUUUCGGCUAGGGGGCCAUCCCGGCUUACCAACCCGAUGCAAACUGCGAAUACCGGAGAAUGUUAUCACGGGAGACACACGGCGGGUGCUAACGUCCGUCGUGAAGAGGGAAACAACCCAGACCGCCAGCUAAGGUCCCAAAGUCAUGGUUAAGUGGGAAACGAUGUGGGAAGGCCCAGACAGCCAGGAUGUUGGCUUAGAAGCAGCCAUCAUUUAAAGAAAGCGUAAUAGCUCACUGGUCGAGUCGGCCUGCGCGGAAGAUGUAACGGGGCUAAACCAUGCACCGAAGCUGCGGCAGCGAACGUAUCACUUAAAGCGAUUCAGCGGGUUACGAUUGACGGAGCGAAGCGACGUCAAAGCGUAUACAAAGUCGAGUCGGUUUAAGGAUACGUUCGUUGGGUAGGGGAGCGUUCUGUAAGCCUGCGAAGGUGGCCUGUGAGGGUUGCUGGAGGUAUCAGAAGUGCGAAUGCUGACAUAAGUAACGAUAAAGCGGGUGAAAAGCCCGCUCGCCGGAAGACCAAGGGUUCCUGUCCAACGUUAAUCGGGGCAGGGUGAGUCGACCCCUAAGGCGAGGCCGAAAGGCGUAGUCGAUGGGAAACGGGUUAAUAUUCCCGU
Molecule: ribosomal RNA, 816 nt
Filed under: Salmonella enterica subsp. enterica serovar Muenchen
Lineage: Bacteria; Pseudomonadati; Pseudomonadota; Gammaproteobacteria; Enterobacterales; Enterobacteriaceae
Description: partial 23S ribosomal RNA
Rfam family: Bacterial large subunit ribosomal RNA
Source: RNAcentral